Molecule: ribosomal RNA, 442 nt
Filed under: uncultured bacterium
Lineage: Bacteria
Description: partial 16S ribosomal RNA
Rfam family: Bacterial small subunit ribosomal RNA
Source: RNAcentral
CCUACGGGAGGCAGCAGUGGGGAAUAUUGGGCAAUGGGCGCAAGCCUGAACCAGCAACGCAGCGUGAAGGAAGAAGGCUUUCGGGUUGUAAAAUUCUUUUGAGAGGGGAGAGAAGAAGACGGUACCUGACGAAUAAGCCAUGGCUAACUAGGGGCCAGCAGCGGCGGUAAUACGGAGGGGGCAGGCGUUGUCCGGAUGUACUGGGUGUAAAGGGCGUGUAGCCGGGUUGACAAGUCAGAUGUGAAAGCCUGCGGCUUAACCGCAGAACUGCAUUUGAAACUGGUGAUCUUGAGUACUGGAGAGGAAGACGGAAUUCCUGGUGUAGCGGUGAAAUGCUUAGAUAUUAGGAGGAACGCCAGUGGCGAAGGCGGGCUGCUGGACAGCAACUGACGGUGAGGCGCGAAAGCGUGGGGAGCAAACAGGAUUAGAUACCCCAGUAGUC